This 253-nucleotide ribosomal RNA is filed under the name uncultured bacterium. Its description in RNAcentral is "partial 16S ribosomal RNA". It matches the Rfam family "Bacterial small subunit ribosomal RNA", at positions 524 to 776 of the family's 1533-position model. The record is from RNAcentral.
GACAGAGGCCUCAAGCGUUAGGCGGAAUCACUGGGCUUAAAGCGUGUGUAGGCGGAUCGUUAAGUGUCUUGUGAAAUCCCACGGCUCACCCGUGGAACUGCUGGGCAUACUGGCGAUCUUGGGCCAACUAGGGGCAACUGGAACAAGCGGUGGAGCGGUGAAAUGCGUAGAUAUCGCUUGGAACGCCGAAGGUGAAAACAGGUCGCUGGGGAUGUGCCGACGCUGAGACACGAAAGCCAGGGGAGCAAACGGG